UAAAACUUCGGUCAAUUGAAAUCUGGAGGUCGUGUGUUCGAUCCACACAAUUCGCAAAUCUGGAGGUCGUGUGUUCGAUCCACACAAUUCGCA
This 93-nucleotide transfer RNA is filed under the name Naumovozyma dairenensis CBS 421. RNAcentral describes it as "tRNA-Phe". The record is from RNAcentral. Lineage: Eukaryota; Fungi; Ascomycota; Saccharomycetes; Saccharomycetales; Saccharomycetaceae.